AAGACAAACAAAAAUAUUAUUAUAUGCUCACAAACAUCACUAACAGCGCCAAAAAAAUCCAAACACAAAAUUAAUAUAACUUAGAAAACAAAAUUAUAUAAGGAAAAAACUAGAAUUCACAUAUCAUUAGUUUAGGAAUAUUACUUGCUCAAAUAGAUGAGGCAUGUCUUAAGUAACUCAAAACAUCAUAAAAGAUAUUAUAAAACAAAACAACAAGAUAUUAAAAAAUUUCUAAUCUUCUUCUCUAACGAAUGUCCUUCUUCCUAUUCUCCAGAAUAUUAAGAAUCUCCAAAUUUCAUCAUUUGCUACACAUCACUGUUUGAAUAUUCCAAUUCUUCUUCUUCAUCAAUCACUUUAAAAAUUCCUUUCGUUUUCCUUUAGAUGUUGAUGUUUGUACUUGAAGAAUAAAAGUAUCUUACAAUUGUUUGAGAAGAGAAAAUGAAUAGAGUAAGGAGAAGAAAAGUUUAUUUAUUGCCUGAGAUGAUAGAAACAUAGGGAAAAGAAGAAAAGUCUUGAGAAUAUAAUCCUUAUGAGAGUGCAGAAUGAAAAAUCUGUAGUGUUUGGUUUUAUAAAUAUUUAAUUAGGUUAGUGAUUAGUAUUUAAAUAUAAUUAUUAGUUUUUGACCAUAAUUA
Molecule: long non-coding RNA, 632 nt
Filed under: Lathyrus oleraceus (garden pea)
Lineage: Eukaryota; Viridiplantae; Streptophyta; Magnoliopsida; Fabales; Fabaceae
Description: Pisum sativum (pea) long non-coding RNA (PSAT_LNC016681)
Source: RNAcentral